CCAUAACAACUAAAUUACCGGAUAAUUAACAUUAUGUCCCAUACCAUAGCUUAUCAAGUAAAACAAUUAUUACAGACAUUAAAAUAUAAAUUGUUUGUUUGUUUCUAGACUCUCUCCUACUUCAUUCCACAUAGCAAGCAUCCUAGCAUCGCCAACACCUGUCACAUAUGUUAAAAUAGAGGUCAAUACACAUAGUGUAAAGGUGAGCAUACAAGUUUAAUAGUAUAAUAGAUAGUGAAACGUUUUACGCAUAACCAGCAUGUAACAUGUAGAAAAGUGAAGCUAGUAGGUUAUCGACAAUGAAAUAUGCACAGACGUGACUACGAAUUGUAGAGUGCGCAACACAUAUCACCAUUGUGACACGUGAAGAAAUACCCUUAGCAACCCCCGUCCACGACAGGUGCUGAGUCCAAACUAUAGUAAUAUCGUUGCUAAGGUGCCAGGCAACAAUCACUGUGUAAACAUAACAUACAAGCAUUCAUCGAAUAACACGCAUAACAUGCGAGAGCGGUUAGCGUAUAAAAUGUGUUUGCAUUGUGUGAUCGAUGUGAUUCAGUAUAAGUAACGUAUGUAACACUGAUGUGCAUUAGGUGCGAUAUAACUUAGGUGUAUAUUUUAAGCCCUUUUUACACUUUUUAGCCAAGUUUUAAAUUUAUAAACACGAUAUUCACUAACACUAAACACACAUAUGGGCAAGUGCACCCAUCGUGGACGUAGUAUAGUGUUAGUAAGAUACCGAGGUCGUCCAAGGACACAAGAGCUUUUAGUACCGGUUUAUCCUCAACGUCUAAUCAAAUCAAAAUGUUAGAAAAAAAGAUUUUUAAACUAGAAAAAUAAAACUAACUGAAAUGCUGAAAAAGAAAAUAAAAGUAAAAACAGAUAGACAAGAUGAAUCACUUGGAUCCGACUCAUGUACCUUUCUUUUGAAGGUGACGUUUCCCUCAACCCAGUAG
Molecule: long non-coding RNA, 953 nt
Filed under: Helianthus annuus (common sunflower)
Lineage: Eukaryota; Viridiplantae; Streptophyta; Magnoliopsida; Asterales; Asteraceae
Description: sRNA HanXRQr2_Chr14g0634781
Source: RNAcentral